This 74-nucleotide transfer RNA is filed under the name Infirmifilum uzonense. RNAcentral's name for it is "Thermofilum uzonense tRNA-Met". The record is from RNAcentral. Lineage: Archaea; Thermoproteati; Thermoproteota; Thermoprotei; Thermofilales; Thermofilaceae.
AGCGGGGUGGGGAAGCCAGGUAUCCCGCGGGGCUCAUAACCCCGAGGUCGGUGGUUCAAAAGGGCACGCCUAGA